Molecule: ribosomal RNA, 492 nt
Filed under: uncultured bacterium
Lineage: Bacteria
Description: partial 16S ribosomal RNA
Rfam family: Bacterial small subunit ribosomal RNA
Source: RNAcentral
AGUGAACGCUGGCGGUAGGCCUAACACAUGCAAGUCGAACGGCAGCACAGUAAGAGCUUGCUCUUACGGGUGGCGAGUGGCGGACGGGUGAGGAAUACAUCGGAAUCUACUUUUUCGUGGGGGUUAACGUAGGGAAACUUACGCUAAUACCGCAUACGACCUACGGGUGAAAGCAGGGGAUCUUCGGACCUUGCGCGAUUGAAUGAGCCGAUGUCGGAUUAGCUAGUUGGCGGGGUAAAGGCCCACCACGGCGACGAUCCGUAGCUGGUCUGAGAGGAUGAUCAGCCACACUGGAACUGAGAGACGGUCCAGACGCAUACGGGAGGCAGCAGUGGGGAAUAUUGGACAAUGGGCGCAAGCCUGAUCCAGCCAUACCGCGUGGGUGAAGAAGGCAUUCGGGUUGUAAAGCCCUUUUGUUGGGAAAGAAAAGCAGCAGGUUAAUACCCCGCUGUUCUGACGGUACCCAAAGAAUAAGCACCGGCUAACUUCGUG